RNAcentral lists this ribosomal RNA (301 nucleotides) under uncultured bacterium. RNAcentral describes it as "partial 16S ribosomal RNA". It matches the Rfam family "Bacterial small subunit ribosomal RNA", at positions 509 to 807 of the family's 1533-position model. The record is from RNAcentral.
CAGUAGCCGCGGUAAUACGGAGGGGGCUAGCGUUGUUCGGAAUUACUGGGCGUAAAGCGCACGUAGGCGGCUUGGUAAGUUAGAGGUGAAAGCCCGGAGCUCAACUCCGGAAUUGCCUUUGAAACUAGAUAGCUUGAAUUCAGGAGAGGUGAGUGGAAUUCCGAGUGUAGAGGUGAAAUUCGUAGAUAUUCGGAAGAACACCAGUGGCGAAGGCGGCUCACUGGACUGGUAUUGACGCUGAGGUGCGAAAGCGUGGGGAGCAAACAGGAUUAGAUACCCCCGUAGUCCCUGUCUCUUAUAC